This 325-nucleotide unclassified non-coding RNA is filed under the name Rozellomycota sp. RNAcentral's name for it is "Cryptomycota sp. partial contains small subunit ribosomal RNA, internal transcribed spacer 1, and 5.8S ribosomal RNA". The stretch from base 1 to 47 matches the Rfam family "Eukaryotic small subunit ribosomal RNA", at positions 1785 to 1831 of the family's 1831-position model. Lineage: Eukaryota; Fungi; Rozellomycota. The record is from RNAcentral.
AAAGUCGUAACAAGGUUUCCGUAGGUGAACCUGCGGAAGGAUCAUUAACAAAUCUGCUAGUAUGGGUGGUGGUGGGUAGGGUGCGGUAGGCCGUCAGGCCUGCCGUGCUGCCCUACUGCCAAGCCAUACUAUAUUGACCCGAGCUGGCAUAUAGAUAAUAUAUGCCGGUUUGGUUGGGUGGGGCGCAAGCCCUGCUCGGCUGUGCAGUACCAUUAGUACUAACGUACUCAUGGUACUACCAGCCACAUAGACGCUUGUAUGUUUGACAGAGUUACACAGUUGUAUACUAUAUAGACAACUUUUAACAAUGGAUCUCUUGGCUCUU